UAAUUUGAUAUCAUCCUAAUAUCAGUACAAUUAUAAGAGUGCGGCCUGGAUGAAAGCUAGCCUAGAUAUUAUCCCGUUCAAUUAAUUAAUUCAAUGGAUUUUGUUAACUGUUAGGAUAACACUGCCUGUAACAGCUGUUUGAAUGAAUGUUUAAGUCCUCUAAAAUGUAAUUUGACCACCGUAUUUGUAAUAACAAUAUGACG
Molecule: non-coding RNA, 203 nt
Organism: Paramuricea clavata
Lineage: Eukaryota; Metazoa; Cnidaria; Anthozoa; Malacalcyonacea; Plexauridae
Source: the annotation of a GenBank genome assembly